Molecule: long non-coding RNA, 612 nt
Organism: Pseudophryne corroboree (corroboree frog)
Lineage: Eukaryota; Metazoa; Chordata; Amphibia; Anura; Myobatrachidae
Exons: 3
Source: RefSeq, a predicted model, not a curated record
UAAAAUGUUUUGUGUGUAUGUCUUUUAUCCACAAACUCGAGUUAUGAUUAGGUGAAAGAAUAAUCUAACAUAUGUACUAAUGUGGACUAUAUCUGUUUUUCAGGUGAUGGGGGUUACGGCUGCUACUCUUGGCUCCUUACUCCAUUGUCCCAACCUGAUUCUCCUGCUGAACACAGUUACAAUCAUGCACAUAAGGCUACGCGGAAUGUGAUAGAAAGAUGUUUUGGUGUGCUGAAGUCACGGUUUCGGUGUCUGGAUAAAUCUGCUGGCCUUUUGUUGUAUAGUCCCUCAAAGAUAACUGAGGGGAUCGGGGCUCAUCACUCUGCGAACUCGCCAAUAGUGCCAGUGGUGGCUGGGGUGACACUGCCGAAAGUCGUCGCCUGGGUGGGGAUGAUGGAGCCGCAGAUUCCGAGCCAAGACGCCGUGUCUUACUUGGCCUCCUGGAAUAUGUGACUACACUGAAGUCUUACCUGCAAUCCCAGCCUCAUCCUGACUUGUCUGAGGCCUGUCUGGCCGGCUGGUCUGUGGGACUGUUGAAAAAGUGUACCAAACAUUAUUACCAUGCUUUGUGUAAAAAAACCCCCUGCAAAGCCUUAUUGUACUGUAACCAUC